UACGUAGGGGCCUAGCGUUGUCCGGAUUUAUUGGGCGUAAAGAGCUCGUAGGCGGCUUGGUUAGUCAGGUGUGAAAUCUCCACGCUCAACGUGGAGGGGCCACCUGAUAUUGCCAUGGCUUGAGUCCGGUAGGGGAGUGUGGAAUUCCCGGUGUAGCGGUGAAAUGCGCAGAUAUCGGGAGGAACACCCGUAGCGAAGGCGGCACUCUGGGCCGGUACUGACGCUGAGGAGCGAAAGCGUGGGGAGCAAACAGG
RNAcentral lists this ribosomal RNA (254 nucleotides) under uncultured bacterium. Its description in RNAcentral is "partial 16S ribosomal RNA". It matches the Rfam family "Bacterial small subunit ribosomal RNA", at positions 524 to 776 of the family's 1533-position model. The record is from RNAcentral.